AUUGCAGGCUGCAACUCGCCUGCAUGAAGUCGGAAUUGCUAGUAAUCGUAGGUCAGCAUACUACGGUGAAUACGUUCCCGGGCCUUGUACACACCGCCCGUCAAACCAUGAGAGUUGCAACACCCGAAGUCGGUAGUCUAACCGCAAGGGGGGCGCGGCCGAAGGUGGGUUCGAUAAUUGGGGUGAAGUCGUAACAAGGUAUC
Molecule: ribosomal RNA, 203 nt
Filed under: uncultured bacterium
Lineage: Bacteria
Description: partial 16S ribosomal RNA
Rfam family: Bacterial small subunit ribosomal RNA
Source: RNAcentral